This 551-nucleotide ribosomal RNA is filed under the name uncultured bacterium. Its description in RNAcentral is "bacterial SSU rRNA". It matches the Rfam family "Bacterial small subunit ribosomal RNA", at positions 355 to 896 of the family's 1533-position model. The record is from RNAcentral.
UGGGGAAUAUUGCGCAAUGGGGGAAACCCUGACGCAGCGACGCCGCGUGAGCGAUGAAGGCCUUCGGGUCGUAAAGCUCUGUCAGGUGGGAAGAAACUUCCGUUGACUAAUAAUCGACGGAACUGACGGUACCACCAGAGGAAGCACCGGCUAACUCCGUGCCAGCAGCCGCGGUAACACGGAGGGUGCAAGCGUUGUUCGGAAUCACUGGGCGUAAAGGACGCGCAGGCGGUUCGGUAAGUCAGAAGUGAAAUCCGUCGGCUCAACCGACGAACUGCUUCUGAUACUGCCAGACUUGAGUACGGGAGAGGAAAGCGGAAUUCCCAGUGUAGAGGUGAAAUUCGUAGAUAUUGGGAAGAACACCGGUGGCGAAGGCGGCUUUCUGGACCGAUACUGACGCUGAGGCGUGAAAGCGUGGGGAGCAAACAGGAUUAGAUACCCUGGUAGUCCACGCUGUAAACGGUGAGUACUAGGUGUAGGGGGUACCGACCCCCCCUGUGCCGCAGCUAACGCAAUAAGUACUCCGCCUGGGAACUACGGCCGCAAGGCUA